This 3080-nucleotide unclassified non-coding RNA is filed under the name Daphnia pulicaria. RNAcentral describes it as "uncharacterized LOC124338189, transcript variant X1". The record is from RNAcentral. Lineage: Eukaryota; Metazoa; Arthropoda; Branchiopoda; Diplostraca; Daphniidae.
UAAUUGGUAAAGUGUUUCUCAAUCUGAAUGUGCUUUUCAAGACACAACAUAUAAGACACAAGAAAACAUUUUAUCCUCAACAACGAGGUGAAAGACCCGUCAUAUUUUUAUUCGGCAAUACGAUGACCGAGAGGAAAAAUUGCUGAACACUAAUUGUCCGCCAAAGAUGGAAAAAAGACUUAGCGUCGGCUCAAUGAAUUAUUAGAAGAAACGUUCGAGAUUCUAGUUUGAGGACGGGGAUUGGAUUGCUGGAAGCACAAUGAGGAAGAGAGGACGACAUUCGGCCAAUUAGAGCAAAUUUUUCACAAGAUAGUCGAUCCAAUCAUCCGUCAACGUUUCGCCGGGCCGGCAGUGACGGAAGAAAAGAACAAUUACGUGAAAAUGAACAAAGAAAUCCGUUUAAAUAAUCCCGAGGCUAAAUCCGAAUAUGAAACGAUGACCAGCAAUGAAAAUCGACAAGUCGUUUCGCUUUGAAACGCUUCCACUUCGUCACAGUGCCCAAAUGCCCCCCGCAAAUUGUAUCCGCAGUUGAGUGUGACGAAUUACAUCGACGCCAGCACGGAAAUCGACACACUUCCACAGCCCCCGUUAUCUUUUCAAAAGAGCCUGGCAGACAACUCGACACAACAUUACCUAGACGUGUUACCUGACCCACAAGUUUGAAAAUUUCUUUCGCAUCCAUUCCCGCGGUUAUAUUGGUCGUGUUAUCACCAUUUAAGACUUAAGAGAAAAUGUUUCCCUGUUCGUAAUGCCGUGAAUCAAAACUUUUCGCUAAUCUUCAAUUUCUUCUGAUUACCAUGGCGACACAAGAGUUACCGUCAAAUCAAAUGUGUUCUUCCUCGGAUUUAUACUGUGCUAUCUACAUGCAGAAAUGCUGAAAAUGAAAUUGUGCAAAGCCAUAACGUCUGCCCCAUUUCCAACUUUUUGUUUUUUUCUUUGACUUGGGGAGAGAGAGGACAACAACAAAAUGAAAAUACAUAUCAAAGAUUAAUUUGACCACCUUAAAAAAACCUGGUGCCUGAGACAGUUAUCAUGAGUUGUUCUAUUUGUCUUCUACUCGACCACAUUAUCUUAUCUUAUUUUACGACGUUUUACGACUUUGUACCGUAAAAUCCCUUUCAUAAGCACAGGGUUAAUCAGCUGUUUUCAUGGCGUCAACGUUUAGUUUGUCCAUUUACUGCGUGCUAGUCAAACAUUCGUUGGAAGCAAGUCAUUCGAGCUAGUCGAAUCUCUUUCUGUCGUAUUUUAAAAGGACUACAAGUCAUAUUCUGCUAUCUUCAUGCAUGGCUGCUGAAAAUGAAAUUGUGCAAAUCAGCAUUAUGCCUGUCCCACAUGCAACUUUUUGCUUCUUCUUUAACUUUUUUUUUUGUAAUGAGUGGGGGGGGGGAUGCAAGUACACUCAAAGAUAAAUUUGACCACCUUAAACUAAAAUUGAAAAUCUGGUGCCUCAGACAGUUAUCACGAGUUGUUGUUAUACUAAUGUUAUAAUUUGACCUCGUUGUUUUAUCUUAUCUUAUUUUAUACGACCGUGUCGUCUAACAUCCUUUUCAAUAUGAAGUUAAGUUAGCUGUUUUUCUUGUUUCAAGUUUAGUUUGUCCGUUUACUGCGCACCAGUCGUACUUACUGGUGGAACAUUUGUCUUUAGUCGAACCUAAGAAUCAUUGAGCUGGCCGAAAGAUUUAAAAUCAUUCAAACACGGGUGAACAAGUACAUAGUUGCAAAAGAAAAUAUUGCAAAAGGUUGACACAACUUCUGGCGUCUUGCAUCUGGAAUAUCUAAUGGAAGCAUCCAUCUUUCUCCUGGAGAGAAGUUUCUGCUUCGCUACAAUUUGAAACAACGCUACAAAUACGGAAGUGACGUGAGAAAAAAAAAGUGAAGUUGCCAAAUUCCUCGUUUGAUGUGCUCGUUCAAGCAAACGGCUGCGUUCAACUUUUAGUACCGCGGUACAAUAAUUGCAAAGUUAGCACUAGAUGUCGUUCGGUUGCCUUUUUUUCGUGAAAAAUACAGCGGGACUUGGCCUUCGGCUGCUCUACCAGCAGGAGAAUAAAAACAAACUUGACAGUUGUAGUAAGACUUGGAAAGUCGUGGUUUAAAAUCAGAUUUUUAAUAUAAUUCUACAUACAUGCGAAACAUUAAUUGUGAACAGAAAUUCAGUUGAGAAUACACGACGGAUUAUUUCUUCAUCAAGAGAUUAUAAUUUUCGCACGGAAGUUGACAUGUUUGUCCGGCGGAGGGCUCCUGGAUCCCCACGUCGAGUGCGGAUUAAACUACAAAUAUUUCCCGAUGGACAAUGUCUUGAAGUUCAACCUGGUGGAGGAUCUCAUUCUCUGGCGUCAAGGAUAUAGUUCCCAUUUGGAAGAUGUCUUAAUUCGUGCUUUGAAGCCGGAGGAUAUGGAAAAGGUUGACGUCAUGAUUAUCGCCAUUUUGGGCUGUUUGUUUUCUCAGAACGCAACAGUGAUUCUCCAACACUUUCAGAAUUUUGAAGAAACAUUUGAAAAGUCCUCCGUCAUAUCGACAAUUCUGAGAACUGCAGCGAGAAAACACGGGCCCUAUCUGGACGUCGUUUCGUGCACGUCAAUUAUGAAAAAUUGGUUUUAUGCCAAUAAUAAGUUCGGUUACAUUUAAAAUGUCGUGCUCAUCAUGCGUUGUUAGGAAACAAGAUUAUUAUCAUUUUGCUAUUAUUACACAGAAAUGCCUAUGUUGAAACAAUUUGUUAUUUGCGAAUUUUUCGCGUAAUAUUCUGCCACCAAUUUUCAACAGUUGUAAGUUAGCUAAUGCACAAGCCAGCCUCCCUCCAAGAACGCUUGAAAUAUGGUUUUUAAAUUUGGUAAUCGCCAUGCGUGCAUAAUAAAUCAUUUCCCAUUUAAAUUUUGAUUGUUUUUCGUUCAUCCGACCUUGGCUUAAAUCGAUUCAGCGAACUAGGACCAUUAGUUAAUGUUACCUCAUCUGAGAAAUGUACACAUGACCUAGUCCGACGAGGGCUUCAUCCAUCACAGUUAUUCCGUAACGACCAGUAAUUCUGAUAUCCUGGAAAACAAUGGCUCAUCCAGUCACUAGUAUAAUGGGCCAUUAAAGAUCCU